RNAcentral lists this microRNA precursor (103 nucleotides) under Marmota monax (woodchuck). Lineage: Eukaryota; Metazoa; Chordata; Mammalia; Rodentia; Sciuridae. The record is from RNAcentral.
AUUGGGAUAGCUGGGUCAAAUGGUGAUUCCGUUGAAAGUUUUCUGAGGAAUCUCCAUACUGCUUUCCAGAUUGGUUGCACCAAUUUGCAGUCCCACCAGUAAU